GUUAGUUUAGGUGACUUGGUAAACUUUGAGAUUAUAUUCUAGAAUGAUCAAACACCAGACCCCUGCAAAAAUAACCAACCAACCAACCAGACCUAGUUCUAAAGGAACAGUACUCUUUCUCAUUUUUUUGAUAUUUUAAGAAAUGAAUGCCUGUCUAAACCUGCUGACAGUGAGGACAAUUAGGGAAUUUGUUUCCUGGCUUGCAUACAAGAACCUAAGAGCCUUACGGAGCAAAUUAUGGAUCAGAGCAUCCCUGGUGGUCUAGUGGUUAAGAAAUUACCUGCCAAUGCAGAGGACACAGGUUUGAUCCCUGGUCCGGGACGAUUCCAAGCAACUAAAUCUAUGUGCUGCAGCUACAGAGCCCUCAAACCCUAGAACCCUUGCUCCGCAACCAAAGAAGCCACUGCAUUGAGAAGCCUGAGCUCCGCAACUGAGAGAAGUCUCUGCUUGUCACAACUAGAGAAAGCCUGCACGUAACAAUGAAGACCCAGCACAGCCAAAAUGAAUAAAUAAAGUAAUUGAUUUUUUUAAAAAA
Molecule: long non-coding RNA, 535 nt
Organism: Bubalus bubalis (water buffalo)
Lineage: Eukaryota; Metazoa; Chordata; Mammalia; Artiodactyla; Bovidae
Exons: 3
Source: RefSeq, a predicted model, not a curated record